AGCGGUGAAAUGCGUAGAGAUCUGGAGGAAUACCGGUGGCGAAGGCGGCCCCCUGGGACGAAGACUGACGCUCAGGUGCGAAAGGCGUGGGGAGCAAACAGGAUUUAGAUACCCUGGUAGUCCACGCCGUAAACGAUGUCGACUUGGAGGUUGUGCCCUUGAGGCGUGGCUUCCGGAGCUAACGCGUUAAGUCGACCGCCUGGGGAGUACGGCCGCAAGGUUAAAACUCAAAUGAAUUGACGGGGGCCCGCACAAGCGGUGGAGCAUGUGGUUUAAUUCGAUGCAACGCGAAGAACCUUACCUGGUCUUGACAUCCACAGAACUUGGCAGAGAUGCCUUGGUGCCUUCGGGAACUGUGAGACAGGUGCUGCAUGGCUGUCGUCAGCUCGUGUUGUGAAAUGUUGGGUUAAGUCCCGCAACGAGCGCAACCCUUAUCCUUUGUUGCCAGCGGUUAGGCCGGGAACUCAAAGGAGACUGCCAGUGAUAAACUGGAGGAAGGUGGGGAUGACGUCAAGUCAUCAUGGCCCUUACGACCAGGGCUACACACGUGCUACAAUGGCGCAUACAAAGAGAAGCAAACUCGCGAGAGCAAGCGGACCUCAUAAAGUGCGUCGUAGUCCGGAUUGGAGUCUGCAACUCGACUCCAUGAAGUCGGAAUCGCUAGUAAUCGUGAAUCAGAAUGUCACGGUGAAUACGUUCCCGGGCCUUGUACACACCGCCCGUCACACCAUGGGAGUGGGUUGCAAAAGAAGUAGGUAGCUUAACCUUCGGGAG
This 774-nucleotide ribosomal RNA is filed under the name Enterobacteriaceae bacterium HPCAQRKSM103. RNAcentral describes it as "bacterial SSU rRNA". It matches the Rfam family "Bacterial small subunit ribosomal RNA", at positions 677 to 1448 of the family's 1533-position model. Lineage: Bacteria; Pseudomonadati; Pseudomonadota; Gammaproteobacteria; Enterobacterales; Enterobacteriaceae. The record is from RNAcentral.